Molecule: ribosomal RNA, 428 nt
Filed under: uncultured bacterium
Lineage: Bacteria
Description: bacterial SSU rRNA
Rfam family: Bacterial small subunit ribosomal RNA
Source: RNAcentral
ACUCCUACGGGAGGCAGCAGUGGGGAAUAUUGCACAAUGGGCGCAAGCCUGAUGCAGCCAUGCCGCGUGUAUGAAGAAGGCCUUGGGUUGUAAAGUACUUUCAGCAGUGAGGAAGGUGGGUAUGUUAAUAGCAUACUCAUUUGACGUUAGCUGCAGAAGAAGCACCGGCUAACUCCGUGCCAGCAGCCGCGGUAAUACGGAGGGUGCGAGCGUUAAUCGGAAUUACUGGGCGUAAAGCGCAUGCAGGUGGUUUGUUAAGUCAGAUGUGAAAGCCCGGGGCUCAACCUCGGAAUUGCAUUUGAAACUGGCAAACUAGAGUACUGUAGAGGGGGUAGAAUUUCAGGUGUAGCGGUGAAAUGCGUAGAGAUCUGAAGGAAUACCGGUGGCGAAGGCGGCCCCUGGACAGAUACUGACACUCAGAUGCGAAA